Cyprinus carpio carpio is the source of this 1244-nucleotide long non-coding RNA. The record is from Ensembl. Lineage: Eukaryota; Metazoa; Chordata; Actinopteri; Cypriniformes; Cyprinidae.
CGGCAUUUUAAAGUAGGCUGUGAAUGUGUGUGUGUGUGUGUUUGUGUGUGUGGUGUGGGGGGGUGGGCUGGGCUGGGGGCCGACUUACAGAACCGUGUAGGCUGGAAACCUUCCCUGCUCACACACGCUUACCAUGCAGCCAUGGGGGUGGAGAGAUGCUAUGUAGUUAAACCCAAGGCAGCCUGUGGAUACAACACUUCCAGCGUGACACUCUCAGAGAACGGCAAAAGCUCAGCCUCAAACACACACACACACACACACACACACACACACACACACACACACACACACAUAACAGUAGAUCUCAACAGGAUACUGCAGUUAGUCACAGGCACAUGAAAACUGGAGGAAAUGGAGUGACAAGAAAAAAGGAAGACACAAAUCACGCCGUGUCAUGUGUGCAGAGAAACAGAUUGUUCGCUAUCAGCGGUGAUGGUGCGCGGAGGAAGAAUGCGAGCAUGCAGCGAAGUCAAACAAAAGUGCCUCAGAUGAAUAUUCCUGAAACAGAACAGGAUGGACUUGCUAAAACCAAAUCACGCACUCAUCCUGCACCGGGUUAUUCAGACAGGCUCAAUCUUUUCAGAUCGUGUGAUGCUCCAUGUCUUCAUUCCAAUUUAGGCGCUGGGGACGGCUCAAGUGGACGAGCGCUGCCAGCAGCUUGUUAGGGUGCUCAUAAGGUGCUCAGUAGUCAGUGUAGAUCCUGUGUUGUAAUCAGCAGCUACAUCUGGCUACUGGGUCUCUGAUGGCAUUUUCUGCUUCCUGUUGGCACAUUCCUUUCAGAUUGUGUGGUAUGUUAUCACAAUGUGUGCCUCAUCCUGUCAGAAUAGGACUCGCUCUUUCAUGGACGUUAAAGAGGGCUCGUCACAACAGCCUGUCUCUUCGACCAGAGCGAUUUGGUGGUGCUUUUACACAUUUUUAGCCUAGUUUAAUGUGGGUUUUUCUUCUUUUUUGUAUUCAAAAAAUUUGAUCAAGGUGAGUGAAGUGUCAAAGUGCAGCUAAAAGUCUCGGGAACCCAUUUCAGACUGCUUUGAAAGAAAGGAUUGAGACAUUGUUUCUUUUUUGACUUCUGAAGAUUCAGUUUAAGUGAUUAGGUAACAAAGGACAAGGCGACAUGUCACAUUCUCUUUGUGAUUUGCCUGUCACAAGGGGCUGUCUUUGUGCAAAUGUUUUUGAGUUGUUGAAGGCUGACAAAUAAUGAGAGUUAAACGCGCAGACAUGCUGAAUCGCAUUGGUUUUGGAGAGCG